Molecule: non-coding RNA, 20 nt
Filed under: Arabidopsis thaliana (thale cress)
Lineage: Eukaryota; Viridiplantae; Streptophyta; Magnoliopsida; Brassicales; Brassicaceae
Source: RNAcentral
UGACAAUUCAGUAGGGACCU